RNAcentral lists this ribosomal RNA (576 nucleotides) under Aspergillus niger. RNAcentral describes it as "eukaryotic LSU rRNA". The stretch from base 206 to 359 matches the Rfam family "5.8S ribosomal RNA". Lineage: Eukaryota; Fungi; Ascomycota; Eurotiomycetes; Eurotiales; Aspergillaceae. The record is from RNAcentral.
ACUUGCGGAAGGAUCAUUACCGAGUGCGGGUCCUAUGGGUCCAACCUCCCAUCCGUGUCUAUUGUGCCCUGUUGCUUCGGCGGGCCCGCCGCUAGUCGGCCGCCGGGGGGGCCCCUCUGCCCCCGGGGCCCGUUCGCGCCGGAGACCUUAACACGAACACUGUCUGAAAGCGUGCAGUCUGAGUUGAUUGAAUGCAAUCAGUUAAAACUUUCAACAAUGGAUCUCUUGGUUCCGGCAUCGAUGAAGAACGCAGCGAAAUGCGAUAACUAAUGUGAAUUGCAGAAUUCAGUGAAUCAUCGAGUCUUUGAACGCACAUUGCGCCCCCUGGUAUUCCGGGGGGCAUGCCUGUCCGAGCGUCAUUGCUGCCCUCAAGCCCGGCUUGUGUGUUGGGUCGCCGUCCCCCUCUCCGGCCGGACGGGCUUGAAAGGCAGCGGCGGCACCGCGUCCGAUCCUCGAGCGUAUGCGGCUUAGUCACAUGCUCUGUAGGAUUGGCCGGCGCCUGCCGACGUUUUCCAACCAUUCUUUCCAGGUUGACCUCGGAUCAGGUACCGAUACGCGCUGAACUUAAGUAUAUCC